UGACCAUGAAGCCCAGGAGGGCAGCCCUAACCUGGGCAUGAAGUACCCGCAGAUCUCUCGACCCUCCAUCAUCAGACACCCACAGAAUACAGUGGCUUCUGAAGCUUUUAAUGCUGAAAAACUAUGCAGAACCAGACACAAAGGCGACUGAGUGAUUGGCAGUGCAACCUGCUCACUGCUUGAUGAGGGCACCGAUAACCUAGAGGGUUUUCGAAUGAUCAGGCUUCACACAGGGGCCUAUCGGUUACCAUUGGCAACCGUAAUCCGAAGCCGCAACAGCCAGCGAAUUCACUCACUGAUGGCAGCGUGGCAACAAU
Alosa alosa (allis shad) is the source of this 317-nucleotide long non-coding RNA. RefSeq lists it as uncharacterized. Lineage: Eukaryota; Metazoa; Chordata; Actinopteri; Clupeiformes; Clupeidae. The record is from RefSeq and is a predicted model, not a curated record. The transcript is spliced from 3 exons.